Molecule: transfer RNA, 75 nt
Filed under: Rhizocola hellebori
Lineage: Bacteria; Bacillati; Actinomycetota; Actinomycetes; Micromonosporales; Micromonosporaceae
Description: tRNA-Arg
Rfam family: tRNA
About the family: Transfer RNA (tRNA) molecules are approximately 80 nucleotides in length. Their secondary structure includes four short double-helical elements and three loops (D, anti-codon, and T loops). Further hydrogen bonds mediate the characteristic L-shaped molecular structure. tRNAs have two regions of fundamental functional importance: the anti-codon, which is responsible for specific mRNA codon recognition, and the 3' end, to which the tRNAs corresponding amino acid is attached (by aminoacyl-tRNA synthetases). tRNAs cope with the degeneracy of the genetic code in two manners: having more than one tRNA (with a specific anti-codon) for a particular amino acid; and 'wobble' base-pairing, i.e. permitting non-standard base-pairing at the 3rd anti-codon position.
Source: RNAcentral
GCCUUUGUAGCUCAGUGGAAUAGAGCACCAGGUUCCGAACCUGGAGGUCGCUGGUUCGAGUCCAGCCGAGGGCAC